Non-coding RNA from Marmota flaviventris (yellow-bellied marmot), 699 nucleotides. The record is from the annotation of a RefSeq genome assembly. Lineage: Eukaryota; Metazoa; Chordata; Mammalia; Rodentia; Sciuridae.
AGCAUGUGACAGGACCCAGGCAAACUUGCUCCACAUCUGCUAACUGCAUUUCCUGUUGGAGCAGAUGCAAUGCAUAGCCCAGUAACUUUGCUUGUACCUCUUGCGCACCAGGUGCAGAAUUAAGAUCUGGAUUUGGGACAAAACAGAACAGUUCUCUCGGGGAAGAGCACCACUAUGCUGGCCAUCAGCCUGCUGGGAGCAGCCAUCGCCUCCAUCUGUCUUGGAACCAGCAUGGCCCAGAAGGUAAUUCAAGCUCAGACUGCAAUUUCUGUGGUGGAGAAGGAGGCUGUGACCUUGGACUGUGUGUAUGAAACCAGUGAUUCUACUUAUUAUUUAUUCUGGUACAAACAACUACCCAGUGGUGAACUGACUCUCCUUAUUCGUCAGGGCUCUUACAAUGAGCAAAAUGCAACAGAGGGUCGCUAUUCCCUCUAUUUCCAGAAGGCAUCCAGUUCCAUCCAGCUCAUCAUCACAGCCUCACAGCUCAUGGAUGCAGCAGUGUAUUUCUGUGCCCUGAGACAGGCCACAGUGAGAAGGCUGCCUGUGGGAGUCCCACAAAUACCUCAAGAAGAGCUAGGGCCUCUGGGGGGGAGACCCCACCACAGACAGGGAGGAGCAGGGGCUGUGUCAGCACAGGUGGGGGUUUGGCAAGGAAACCUGAGUGCAGUUCAUGUAGAAUGUCCAGAUGUUCACUUGUGA